CCAACGUGGGGACGAAAGGCCUCCCACUUGCGAGGGGCAGGGCCUCCGUGGGCGGGGCCUCACCGGUGACGUGGAUCUCCUCGUUGGUCGGGGCCCGGAUCUCCAGCUGCAGGCGGCCACGGCGCUCUCGGUGUGGUCCACACCGCACAGCGAGGGCACGCUGCGCACACAGCGCCGGUGCACGUUCAUCUCGCAGCCUGGCGGGACAAGCCUGGGUCGCACUCGAAGCCCGGCGCUGCCCCUGCACCCCAGCCGGUGGCGCAGCACUCACAGGAGCACUUCAUGCCCUGGUGCACCAGGCCGUACAGCAGCGAGCCGCAGUGGUCGCAGAAGGUGGGGCUGCUGUAACUGUGCAGGCGGAACUUGUGCUUGUUCCGGGGGUCCUGGGGGCACAGAGGGGCUCUCAGCGGGGCAGGAGCCUCUGGACCCUGACCAGCCCCGAGCUCCACCUCACCCGGGCCACUGCACACUCCUGCGGCGCCUGGCGGUUUCCAGGUGCUGGAACCUGGAAAGCACGCUAAGGGCGCCUGGCCUUGGGGUUCUUUCUGAGCGGAGGGAGACAAUAUAAACACAGUAAAUACAUAAAAUAUGCGGCAGGGCUGGGGUGAGGCCUGGGCAGAGAGCAGGCUGACAUGCAGGAGGCCCUGGGUUCAGUCCCAGCACCGCAAUAAAGAAAGAGGUGUGUGUGUGUCUGUGUAUGUAUGUGUGUGUGUGGAUAUAUGAUGGGGGUGGAGAAAAAUGAAGUGGAGCUGGGAGGUAACAGAAGCACUCGGGAGGCUGAGGCAGGAGGAUCACCCCGAGGUCGAGGCCAGCUUGAGCUACAGAGUGAGUUCAAGGCCAGCCUGAACUACAUAGCGAGAUCCUGUCUCUAAAAAAGAAAAAAACAAUUGAGAUAGUGAGGGACCCGUAUGUUGUCAGCGUAGCACUUGGGCAGACCACGAAGGGGCGUCAGCACCCCACAGGCUCUACCCUCCCCACACACCACGCACGCCCUCUUCGAGUUCUCUGAAGACGCGCGGGCCACAGCCUGGGCCCUCGGGCAGCCUCUGCCAGCCUUAUGGGGGCUGAGCCCCGUGGGGAACCCUGUUACGAGAGCAUCAGGGGGACUGGGGUGAGCUGCGGGCAUAGCAGGAACAAGCACGAGGCAGCUCCCCUGCUACUCUCCAGCAUCGCAUCGCCGUGGCGAUUACUAGUGCUUUUCCAGACCACCCACACGGCCCUCCUUCAAACAAGAACUAGGCCACUUCCCAGCUGUGAUUUGCAGCAAGUUCUUGGCCCGUUUGGGGAGUCUCAGCGUCCUCUUCUGUCAAAUGGAAACAAACAAUCUACGCCUCAAAGCAAAAGGUAAGUUGCUAGGGUUCAAUCAGUCAGGAACUUAGGACACCCACAGGCCUCUCCUUCCCAGUCUCCACCCCUGGAGCAACAUCGGGUGGCUAAGGAACUUCAACCUUGACUUUUGCUGGGAAUGUACCGGAAGAAUGGUGAGGAGGAGGAUGCAAGACACUAUCGGGUAUUAUUUAUUUGCGCUGGUUCUAUUUUGAAUGUAUUGAUGGGGAGGGAGGGCACUGACAGUUGCUGAUGUUCUGGGUCUCUAAAGGCCGUGGACUGACCCUGACUGAAGUAAGUAGGGUGCCAUCAUCCCCAGUGAAGGCCUCUGCAGGGAGCCUGACCCACAAGCCCUCCAGACAGAAGCUGCUAUUCUCCUCAAAGCCAGAAUUCUUAUUAGAAAGGAGACGCCACUAGGCCUGCAGCUAGGGGCCCAGGGCAAAACCCUUUCUUCGUUGUUUUUUGAGACAGGGUCUCACUUUGUAGUUCACACUGGUUGUGGGACUGUAACCCAGCCUGGCCUUGAACUCACAGUGAUCCUCCUGCCUCAGCCUCCCUAGUGCUGGGAAUGACCAGUGUGCACUACCACAACUGGCCAAUAUCCAAAUCUUGAUGAUGCCUACUACUCAGGUUGGGGCCCUGUCCAAGCCUCGGGUUUCUCUCCCUGAAAAAGAGGGGGCUGUGAGACCUUCGUGAGGAGUCUCCUAAGAAGGAAGCCAAAUAGCACUUCUAAGCCCUCCUGCCUUCUUAUGCGCUUGGACCACGUGACUUCCAAGAUCAAAAGUAUUAAGAAGAAGCAAAAUGGAGAGGAAGGAGCUGGCCAGGCACUUCCGCUUCCUCAAUGAUGACAAUAAUAAUGUUAGCAGCGACAAUGAGUGUCACAGUUCUCACCGUGUCCAGAUCCCAUCCCGAGAAUCUGACUCAUGGGAAUCUCGCAGCGAUCCCAUAGGGGCACGAUUGAUUCUCACCCCCCUUUCACAGAUCAGGAAGUCCAAGAAAUUCAAGGGGUAAGUUAAAUUUGGGGGGCGGGGCAGGAAGGGGUCAGGAGUGUGGCUGGCACUCAAGAGAGACCCCAGCUUGUGCCUCAGGAGCCUCUGCCCAGCUGGGCUCAGGGGAGAACACCAGGCUGCCCCCACAAGCUGUGUCAGACCCUGUGCGACGGCACACUCGAGCUGGUGCUAAGGGCGUGGUGGGCACGCGAGGGGGUGAGGCAGCAUGGGCGGGAGGUGGUGGGCAGCGGCACUGAAUAUAGGCUCUGGGAAACUUCUGUUUUCUUCACCUGACAAACUCACAAAAUGUCUCAGGACUCCUGUGGAUCUCCUCUCUCCCUCUCUCUCUCUCUGUCUUUCCUAAUCACAAAACUCUCCCACUUUGUGUCAAACCCUGGGCAAAAUGCUCAGCCCACCUGAGGUCCCUGACCUGUGCCCGGCCUGGGUUGUCCACACUGGUACCGAUCACCUGCCAUGUCUGAGUUUAAGCCAGUUGAACAAAGCGGGCCUCAGACGAGUGCUCCUCAGUGCAGCAGCCCUUCUGUGGCCCAGCGGUUCGUGGCCACACAGCAUGGCCUCGGGGACAGUUCUGUGGGUCUGCACUAGACCACUGGCCACAUUUUACAGGGGCUCAAAGACGCGGUGAAGAGGAGUGAGGCCCGGGCCCCUGCAGGUGGCUCUCGGCAGCCCCGACUCGCAGAGGGCCGGGUGGCAGACUGCGGAUCUGAGUGUGCAUCUGCGCAUGCAUGCAUGUGCUGGGCACUGCAGGCUCUCCACCCUCCCUCCCGCCUUCUACAUCUCCUGCAUUGGCCUUGCCCCUCGAGGUCCGGUCCUCGUCUCAGUGGCUGUUUCCCUCAGUGCUCUCUGCUCCUGUCAGUCUCUCCCCUGCUCACUCUCCCUCUCUCCCUCUCUCUCUCUCUCUCUCUCUCUCUCUCUCUCUCUCUCUCUGCAUCCCUGUUCCUCUCUCAGGUUCUCUCUUACCUCAGGAUCUCCAUGCCUGUACUGGUUUGUCCUCUCUGGCCCUCGGCCUUCAGUUUCCCUAAAUCUGGCCCCCUGGAUGGCAGCCCACCCUUCCCGUCUUGGUCUCUGGUCUCCUCAGCCCUCCUCUGUCUCCCACCUGUGUCCCCGGCCUGUCCCAGGCCCCUCACGUCCCCUUUUCCAGGCCAAGGGCAAAGAAUCUGGGCCAGACAAGCUCCCCCUAUCUCUCCAGCCCCCCUCCCCUCCCAGCCUUAAAAAUAGCAGGAGAAAUUGGGACGGUCGCCCAGGGGGUGAGGGCGGGUGUGGCCUGAGGAGGAGGCAGGUGUCCGGGCACUCACGUCCGUCUGGGGCCCUUCCCAGCACCUGGACACUCGAAGGUCACGGGUCGUGGCAUCGCCGAUGAACCACAAAGCUGCAGACUGAAGGGAAAAUCACAGAGACACAGAGCCAGAGCGAGGACGCGGGUAAAUCCAGAGAUCCCCACAGAUACAAAGUGGAAAGAGAAAAAGAGGUGACAGCGAGAAAAUGGAGGAGGGGGAUCCGAGCAAACAGAAUACAGCAGAAAGUCAGAGGGGAGACCCCAUGUGCAGGGACAGACAGGGACAGAGACAGGGACAGUGAGAAACCCAAAACACGGACUCGAAGGGGGAGAGGGAUGCGCUUAAUCGCAGAAACACAAAGCCGCGAUCACACACAGGGGCCCAAGGGAGGGAGGGAGGGAGACAGGGAGACAGGGAGACAGACAGACAGGAAGAAGGAAAACAGGAUCCCAUAGACCUGAAGACCCAGGCCGCAGACAGAUGGGAAGACUGAAAACAGACUCUCAGGCACAGCCCUAGCAGAGCAAGGACGGAGCAGGAGUGAGCCUGGGGUGGCUCUGGCCCACCCCACCCUGACUCACUCUGUUCUCAGCAAGUGGCAGCUGGCACUUUAGGACUCGCCCCCUUCCCUGCCCCCCCCGAACCGCCCCCCCAUCACGGUGACCCCCACCGGGCCUGCCCCUGCCUGGGCUGCAUAGUGUUGUCAUGGCUACCGCAGCCUGGGGGGGCUCUGACUUUGCAUCUCCAGCCCCUUCCCCCCCUUCAGCUCCCCCUUUUCCAAAUCUCCCUGUUCCCAUGGCAACAGAUUCUCCAAAUAUCUGUCCCCACCUGGAGCUGGCCGAGGGAGGGGCCCCCAGCACCACCCCCGCGGAUGGCCCCACCAUCCGAGCUCCCUCCCUUCCACAGACUGUCUCUGCCACACCCCCCGCCCCGGGCUCCCCCGCGCCUCCCUGGGGACCUCGAACACGUGUGCCGCCAGCCUCAGCUGUGGGGACCCUGCCUCCACCCUCGGGGGUCCCAGGAGUCCGGGUCCCAGCUCUUACCUUGACACUGCAGGCCCUGUUUUCCAAUACCCCUGGAAGAGUCAUGCACCGAUCAGUGCAGAAGGGGCUGCCGGAACUCCCACCUCUGCCACCUCUGCCGCUCAGGGCUCUGAGGGCUGUGGCCUCCGACCCGCCCUCCACGCAGCCACCUCCUCUUU
Long non-coding RNA from Heterocephalus glaber (naked mole-rat), 4814 nucleotides. Lineage: Eukaryota; Metazoa; Chordata; Mammalia; Rodentia; Bathyergidae. The record is from Ensembl.